RNAcentral lists this ribosomal RNA (484 nucleotides) under uncultured bacterium. Its description in RNAcentral is "partial 16S ribosomal RNA". It matches the Rfam family "Bacterial small subunit ribosomal RNA", at positions 28 to 507 of the family's 1533-position model. The record is from RNAcentral.
GACGAACGCUGGCGGCGUGCUUAACACAUGCAAGUCGAACGGAAAGGCCCUGCUUGCAGGGUACUCGAGUUGCGAACGGGUGAGUAACACGUGGGUGAUCUGCCCUGCACUUCGGGAUAAGCCUGGGAAACUGGGUCUAAUACCGGACAGGUGCCAUUUUUAGUGUGAUGGUUGGAAAGUUUUUUCGGUGUAGGAUGAGCUCGCGGCCUAUCAGCGUGUUGGUGGGGUAAUGGCCUACCAAGGCGGCGACGGAUAGCCGACCUGCGAGGGUGGACGGCCACACGGGAACUGAGACACGGUACAGACGCCGACGGGAGGCAGAGGUAGGGAAGGGGCGGCAAAGGGGGAAAGCGUGAAGGAGCGGCGCAGCGGGGGUGAUGAAGGGUCUCGGAGUGGAUAACGAGGUUAGGGUGGAAGAACAGAUGAGUAAGUAAAGGUGCUUAUUGUGACGGUACCUAGGCAGAAAGGUACGGCUAACUACGUG